CCAGUACGCGGUAUGGAAGCGGCUGUGGCAGCAGUGGCGACUGCUUCCCAUCCUUCCACGUCCCUCUUUCAAAUCCCGGCACACCGCUGCCGGUACACGCCGCUCCUUCAUAUCUCCGCCUAGAACUCCUGUUCUGACCUGGACUACACUGUCAGUCUUACAUCACUUUUAACAGCAAUUCGCAAAAUCGGAACGUCACUGGAAGCUACAGAGUAACACUUACCCUCAAGUUCUGAAUGACGGGCGGUCGAUUCGACUUUGAUGAUGGGGGGACCUACUGCGGAGGGUGGGAGGAUGGCAAAGCCCACGGCCACGGUGUGUGCACCGGACCCAAGGGCCAGGGAGAGUACUCUGGCUCCUGGUCGAACGGUUUCGAGGUAGUUGGCGUCUACACCUGGCCCAGUGGGAACACGUAUCAGGGUUACUGGGCGCAGGGGAAGAGACACGGGCUCGGGAUUGAAACCAAAGGGAGGUGGAUUUACCGAGGAGAGUGGACUCAUGGGUUAAAGGGCCGUUACGGAGUCAGGCAAAGCGUAAACACGCCGGCCAGGUACGAGGGUACCUGGAGUAACGGCCUGCAGGACGGGUAUGGCGUGGAGACGUAUGGUGAUGGAGGCACGUAUCAGGGUCAGUGGAGUGGUGGCAUGCGUCACGGCUAUGGAGUACGUCAAAGUGUUCCUUAUGGCAUGGCUUCUGUCAUCCGCUCACCUCUACGAACUUCGCUGUCUUCACUCCGCAGUGAGCAGAGUAAUGGUACAGUACUGCGUGACAGCCUAUCCGAUAGCCCUGCUGGCACACGUGGUGGUUUUGUGCUCAACUUCCAAUCAGAUGGAGAGGGUUCAGAGAAGAGAAAGGGUCUUUUUCGCCGUGGCUCCUUUUUUGGUAGCCUUCAGCGACUACGCAAAUCUGAUUCACGCUCAUCAAUUUCUAGUAAGCGCAGUUCAGCACACAGUGACACUACUAUGAGCCGCAUCAGUUCAAGUGACGCCAACUCUACCAUUAGCUUUGGAGAUGGAGACCCUGGCGAUGACUACCUGCCUCUUGAGGACAGUGUGGAUGCUACCACCACCGAGUCGUAUGUGGGCGAGUGGAAAAAUGACAAACGCAGUGGCUUUGGUAUCUCUGAGCGGUCUAAUGGCAUGAAAUAUGAAGGCGAGUGGUUGAAUAAUAAACGCCAUGGCUAUGGCUGCACCAUCUUUCCUAAUGGGACGAAGGAAGAAGGGAAGUACAAGAACAAUAUGCUGAUCCGGGGUAUCAGGAAGCAGCUGUUCCCACUAAAGAAUACCAAGACCAAACAAAAAGUGGAUCGUGCCAUUGAAGGAGCAGUGAGAGCAGCAGCCAUCGCCAGAACCAAAGUUGAGAUUGCCAUCUCCAGGACGUCCCAUGCCCGGGUCAAAGCAGAGUGUGCAGAUCAGGCUUCACAAUCAGCCUGCCAGGAUUCUGAUAUUGCCCGAGCUGUGGCCAGGGAGCUCUCCCCAUCUUUCCAUCAGCCAGGACCCGACUACACACUGCAGAAGUACAGUGACUCGCAAGAUGUAACUGAGAAGCCCAGAGAGGAGACAAAAGAGAAAUCUCUUUCGGGGAGCCCACAUUUCUACAGGAAAGGCACAACACCAACCCAGUCUCCAUCUGCAAGCCCAGGUCCCAGCCCUAGUCCUUCACCUACUGCUGCUAAAAAGGCUUUUUACAGCAGUAAAACUCUUGCCUCUGAUGCAGCAGCGGAGGCUUUGACAGCAGGCAUAACAAAAGCAGCGUCAAAACUUUCUCUGAGACAGCAAGUAAGGCAACAAGAGGCUUCUCCAGCAGUCAAACAGUCUGCUACCACUACAGUCAGCAGUUACUCAAGCAAUGGACAGAUUCACUCCCAGUUCCAUGGUUACCAUGUUAAAGCAACUCUUAAGAUUCAACCCCCUGAAGAACCAAUUGGUGUAGUGGAUGAUCUUCACCCAUCUGACCUUGUACACUUGCUGCCAUCACCUGUCAAACAAAUUCAACCACCAGCACCAAAACCCCUGCCAGCCCCUAUCCCUUCACAAGUUCCAGCAAAAGAUGGCACCAAAGCACAAGAGCCUCCCAAGGAACCGCAAAAAAAGGAAUCAAGCAAAUCAAGGAGCCUUGCAGAAACCAAGAAAGCCAGUAUGGAAAUGGAUCCUGAAAUUGUAGAGGACAAAUCGGGCCCUAACUCUAUCUUGGUGGUUCUUGUGAUGCUGUUGAAUGUAGGUCUAGCAAUCAUUUUUGUCCAUUUCCUCACCUGACCAAAUAUGGGCUCGGGUAAGAAUUUGCAGCUGUAUAAGUAUUUCACAACUGAAACUGGUUUGCUGUUGUGUUUAUCGUGCACUCAGGAAAGAUCGGUCAUUUAGAAUACAACCUCAAUACAAACUGUAUAUAAAAACAGAAGUGCAGUGAUCUGCAAAGCUAUAAUUUAUUCACAACAGAAAACAGAAAGAGUAGCAAAUGUUUACAAUAAGACAAUGUACCCCUUUAAGAAAAUAUUACUUUAUAAAGAAGUUAAGACGGUGGCAAUAAAAGACUGGAAACUGUAAGUGGUACUAAAAAGAGGAACAUUUUACUGAUACAUACUAAUUAUUAUCAUUUUACAAGUAAUCAAAAAGGAGUUAUCUUUAAAAUCCUUCUAUUGCUUUAUACAGGUCCCAAUGCUUUUCCCUGCUUUGUCCCCUCUCCACUACAGUGUCAGACCUCUCAGGUCAUCAGGUGCACAUCUUUAAACUGUUCCCAGAAUUAGAUCCGAGUGUGGUUGGGGGGCUUUGAGUUACUGUGGUCCUUGUUUUUGGAACACGAGUCCCUCUUUAGUCCAGACAUGUUUUCCACGAACGAGCUAAAGAAGGACCAUCUUGCUUUGUUACCUGUGCUCAGUUCAAAAGUCUGCAUAUCUGAUGCUAUGGGAUGCAUUAGUGCUUAUGGAAUUGGCAACGCCAUCAUCAAUGCUAAAAGUGUUUAAUAUGUGGUUCCAGCUAUAUGACGUCUGACGUUCUUGCACAUUUUUAAUUUGUUGGUGUAAACAUGAUAUUUUCUGUUGUGAAUAAAAUAUGGCUUUAUAACAUUUGCAAAUUAUUGCAUUGCAUUUUACACAUUUUUGGAUUAAAGGCUCAUCAGUCCGAGUCAAACAUGGCUGCUGAUUACAUUCAAAACUGUAUUCACUCCACUGACAUGACUGUUAACACAUUUUUGUUCUAUCCCUGCAUUGCACCUUCACAAUGGUACGGUUCUACAGUUCUGCUGUGGUAAUUCUUCUGUUUUCAGUUAGCCUGGAACGUUUGUGCUCCAAUUAGCAAAACUGACCCCUGGGCCUGGUUUGAAUAUAUGUUUGACACUGACGGAUGCACAGGACACGAUGGAGUAUCCAUGGAGACUCCAUCCUUGCCUCAUCCUCUGGUGAAAGGACUACGAGGAAGAGAGAAAUUAAUAAUUCAUGGAUCCAUCCAGACUAGUCAGAGGGGCCUUUUUUAAAAACGACAGCAGACAGAACAGCAGACACAGACAAAACGG
Maylandia zebra (zebra mbuna) is the source of this 3507-nucleotide RNA transcript. It is a transcript of the gene named junctophilin-1, with no coding region annotated. The record is from RefSeq and is a predicted model, not a curated record. Lineage: Eukaryota; Metazoa; Chordata; Actinopteri; Cichliformes; Cichlidae.